This 107-nucleotide ribosomal RNA is filed under the name uncultured bacterium. Its description in RNAcentral is "partial 16S ribosomal RNA". It matches the Rfam family "Bacterial small subunit ribosomal RNA", at positions 1393 to 1500 of the family's 1533-position model. The record is from RNAcentral.
CCCGUCACACCAUGAGAGUUGGAAAUACCCGAAGCCUGUGAGCUAACUUAAAGAGGCAGCAGUCGAAGGUAGAGCCAAUGAUUGGGGUGAAGUCGUAACAAGGUAGC